GGGCGAGUGGCGGAAUUGGCAGACGCGCCAGACUUAGGAUCUGGUUCCUUCCGGAGUGGGGGUUCGAGUCCCCCCUCGCCCACCA
RNAcentral lists this transfer RNA (85 nucleotides) under bacterium ADurb.Bin429. Its description in RNAcentral is "tRNA-Leu". It matches the Rfam family "tRNA". From Rfam's summary of the family: Transfer RNA (tRNA) molecules are approximately 80 nucleotides in length. Their secondary structure includes four short double-helical elements and three loops (D, anti-codon, and T loops). Further hydrogen bonds mediate the characteristic L-shaped molecular structure. tRNAs have two regions of fundamental functional importance: the anti-codon, which is responsible for specific mRNA codon recognition, and the 3' end, to which the tRNAs corresponding amino acid is attached (by aminoacyl-tRNA synthetases). tRNAs cope with the degeneracy of the genetic code in two manners: having more than one tRNA (with a specific anti-codon) for a particular amino acid; and 'wobble' base-pairing, i.e. permitting non-standard base-pairing at the 3rd anti-codon position. The record is from RNAcentral.